Mya arenaria is the source of this 459-nucleotide long non-coding RNA. RefSeq lists it as uncharacterized. The transcript is spliced from 4 exons. Lineage: Eukaryota; Metazoa; Mollusca; Bivalvia; Myida; Myidae. The record is from RefSeq and is a predicted model, not a curated record.
CAAAUAUAUAGCACGUGUAGCUCCCUCCAAUUCAGCGCGCAUUUUCGAUAUUGCCGAGGAUAAGCAAAGAAGAAAUAACAACCAUGCGUUUGGUAGUGCUUGGACUGUUGAGUGUGCUGAGUGCAAUCUUGUUCCUUAGCAACUCCGUACAGGGCGGCGGUUAUAACGUUGGCGGCUAUGGAGGGUAUGGUUACGGCGGCUACGGGUUCGGCGGAGGUGGCGGUGGCGGCGGGGGAUUCGGAAGUAUCUUCGGCAUACUCAUCUUCCUGUUUGUGUUCAUCAUAAUCAUCCGGGUGCUGUUCGGUGGAGCACUUGGAAUUGGAGGGGGAAGCAACAGCAACAGCUAUUAGAUAAUCGACAGAUGAGAUUUUACCGGACUGACUUGGACUGGACCAACGCAUUGAAUCAAAUUUGUUUAAAAGUUGUAAAAACUUGAUUUUGAAUAAAUGUUGAAGCAUG